GAUAAACGCUGGCGGCGCACAUAAGACAUGCAAGUCGAACGGACUUAACUCAUUCUUUUAGAUUGAGAGCGGUUAGUGGCGGACUGGUGAGUAACACGUAAGAAACCUGCCUUUCAGUGGGGGACAACAGUUGGAAACGACUGCUAAUACCGCAUAAUGUUAUUGGGGGCAUCCCUGAAUAACCAAAGCUUAAUGUGCUGAAAGAUGGUCUCGCGUCUGAUUAGCUGGUUGGUGAGGUAACGGCUCACCAAGGCGACGAUCAGUAGCCGGUCUGAGAGGAUGAACGGCCACAUUGGGACUGAGAUACGGCCCAG
Molecule: ribosomal RNA, 314 nt
Filed under: uncultured bacterium
Lineage: Bacteria
Description: bacterial SSU rRNA
Rfam family: Bacterial small subunit ribosomal RNA
Source: RNAcentral